Molecule: ribosomal RNA, 133 nt
Filed under: uncultured bacterium
Lineage: Bacteria
Description: partial 16S ribosomal RNA
Rfam family: Bacterial small subunit ribosomal RNA
Source: RNAcentral
GGGCCCGCACAAGCGGUGGAGCAUGUGGUUUAAUUCGACGCAACGCGCAGAACCUUACCAGCCCUUGACAUCCCGGUCGCGGACUCCAGAGAUGGAGUUCUUCAGUUCGGCUGGACCGGAGACAGGUGCUGCA